This 301-nucleotide ribosomal RNA is filed under the name uncultured bacterium. RNAcentral's name for it is "partial 16S ribosomal RNA". It matches the Rfam family "Bacterial small subunit ribosomal RNA", at positions 509 to 809 of the family's 1533-position model. The record is from RNAcentral.
CAGCAGCCGCGGGAAUACGGAGGGAGCUAGCGUUGUUCGGAAUUACUGGGCGUAAAGCGCACGUAGGCGGCUUUGUAAGUUAGAGGUGAAAGCCUGGAGCUCAACUCCAGAAUUGCCUUUAAGACUGCAUCGCUUGAAUCCGGGAGAGGUGAGUGGAAUUCCGAGUGUAGAGGUGAAAUUCGUAGAUAUUCGCAGGAACACCAGUGGCGAAGGCGGCUAACUGGUCCAUAACUGACGCUGAGGUGCGAAAGCGUGGGGAGCAAACAGGAUUAGAUACCCCCGUAGUCCCUGUCUCUUAUAA